Molecule: long non-coding RNA, 216 nt
Filed under: Sorghum bicolor (sorghum)
Lineage: Eukaryota; Viridiplantae; Streptophyta; Magnoliopsida; Poales; Poaceae
Description: long non-coding RNA (SBIC_LNC000690)
Source: RNAcentral
GUCAGUGGUUCGAAGCCUAUUGAUAUCAAUCUAGUUAUUUAUUUUUUUAAAUUCCUGGCACUGCUGCAUGAUCGGGCAUUAGCACCGGUCGGGAAGGGCCUGUUGCCCCGGUUCCCGAGCCGGUGCUGCCCUUCCGGGACUAAAGGCCCACCCUUUAGUCCCGGUUCGGCCAACCGGUGCUAAAGGCUCCCCCUUUAACACCGGUUGGUAACACCA